UACGUAGGGGGCAAGCGUUGUCCGGAAUCAUUGGGCGUAAAGCGCGUGUAGGCGGCCCGAUAAGUCCGCUGUGAAAGUCCAGGGCUCAACCCUGGAAUGCCGGUGGAUACUGUCGAGCUCGAGUCCGGAAGAGGCGAGUGGAAUUCCUGGUGUAGCGGUGAAAUGCGCAGAUAUCAGGAGGAACACCAAUGGCGAAGGCAGCUCGCUGGGACGUGACUGACGCUGAGACGCGAAAGCGUGGGGAGCAAACAGG
This 253-nucleotide ribosomal RNA is filed under the name uncultured bacterium. Its description in RNAcentral is "partial 16S ribosomal RNA". It matches the Rfam family "Bacterial small subunit ribosomal RNA", at positions 524 to 776 of the family's 1533-position model. The record is from RNAcentral.